ACUCAAAUGAAUUGACGGGGGCCCGCACAAGCGGUGGAGCAUGUGGUUCAAUUCGACGCAACGCGAAGAACCUUACCUGGGCUCGAACGGCUUCCCAACGCCGGUAGAAAUAUCGGUACCCCGCAAGGGGGUGGAGUCGAGGUGCUGCAUGGCUGUCGUCAGCUCGUGUCGUGAGAUGUUGGGUUAAGUCCCGCAACGAGCGCAACCCUUGUCCUGUGUUGCCAUGUCGAAAGACGGAACUCGCAGGAGACCGCCAGCGAUAAGCUGGAGGAAGGUGGGGAUGACGUCAAGUCCUCAUGGCCUUUAUGUCCAGGGCUACACACGUGCUACAAUGGCCGGUACAAAGCGUCGCUAACCUGCGAAGGGGAGCCAAUCGCAAAAAACCGGUCUCAGUUCGGAUUGCAGGCUGCAACUCGCCUGCAUGAAGCUGGAAUCGCUAGUAAUGGCAGAUCAGCACGCUGCCGUGAAUACGUUCCCGGGCCUUGUACACACCGCCCGU
Molecule: ribosomal RNA, 499 nt
Filed under: uncultured bacterium
Lineage: Bacteria
Description: partial 16S ribosomal RNA
Rfam family: Bacterial small subunit ribosomal RNA
Source: RNAcentral